AGCUGGUGGCGUAGUGGUUAAGAGCUUGGCUGCUAACUAAAAGGUCGGUGGUUUGAAUCCACCACCUGCUC
RNAcentral lists this transfer RNA (71 nucleotides) under Loxodonta africana (African savanna elephant). It matches the Rfam family "tRNA". From Rfam's summary of the family: Transfer RNA (tRNA) molecules are approximately 80 nucleotides in length. Their secondary structure includes four short double-helical elements and three loops (D, anti-codon, and T loops). Further hydrogen bonds mediate the characteristic L-shaped molecular structure. tRNAs have two regions of fundamental functional importance: the anti-codon, which is responsible for specific mRNA codon recognition, and the 3' end, to which the tRNAs corresponding amino acid is attached (by aminoacyl-tRNA synthetases). tRNAs cope with the degeneracy of the genetic code in two manners: having more than one tRNA (with a specific anti-codon) for a particular amino acid; and 'wobble' base-pairing, i.e. permitting non-standard base-pairing at the 3rd anti-codon position. The record is from Rfam by way of RNAcentral. Lineage: Eukaryota; Metazoa; Chordata; Mammalia; Proboscidea; Elephantidae.